CUCUUCUUGUUUAAAAUAUGAAGUAUAACCUGCCCACUGAUUAAAAUUUUGAAGGGCCGCGGUAUUUUGACCGUGCAAAGGUAGCAUAAUCAUUAGUUCUUUAAUUGUGGACUGGAAUGAAUGGUUGGACGAAGAAUAGACUGUUUCUUAUUAUUUUAUUAUUGAAUUUAAUUUUUAAGUUAAAAAGCUUAAAUGUAUUUAUGGGACGAGAAGACCCUAUAGAGUUUAUAUAUAUUUAUUAAUUGAUUUUGUUUGAUUAUUUAUUUAUUAUUUAAUAUAUUUUGUUGGGGUGAUUGGAAGAAUUAAUUAACUCUUUUUUUUAUUAUACAUUUAUUUAUGAAUAGUUGAUCCAUUUUUGUUGAUUAUAAGAUUAAAUUACCUUAGGGAUAACAGCGUAAUCUUUUUUGAGAGUUCUUAUCGAUAAAUUGGUUUGCGACCUCGAUGUUGGAUUAAGGUUUAAUUUGGGUGUAGAAUUUCAAUUUGUUUAGGUCUGUUCGACCUUUAAAAUCUUACA
This 514-nucleotide ribosomal RNA is filed under the name Blatta orientalis (oriental cockroach). Its description in RNAcentral is "partial 16S ribosomal RNA". The stretch from base 386 to 514 matches the Rfam family "Bacterial large subunit ribosomal RNA", at positions 2473 to 2600 of the family's 2925-position model. Lineage: Eukaryota; Metazoa; Arthropoda; Insecta; Blattodea; Blattidae. The record is from RNAcentral.